UACGUAGGGCGCAAGCGUUAUCCGGAAUUAUUGGGCGUAAAGAGCUCGUAGGCGGUUUGUCGCGUCUGCUGUGAAAGACCGGGGCUCAACUCCGGUUCUGCAGUGGGUACGGGCAGACUAGAGUGAUGUAGGGGAGACUGGAAUUCCUGGUGUAGCGGUGAAAUGCGCAGAUAUCAGGAGGAACACCGGUGGCGAAGGCGGGUCUCUGGGCCGAAACUGACGCUGAGGAGCGAAAGCGUGGGGAGCGAACAGG
RNAcentral lists this ribosomal RNA (253 nucleotides) under uncultured bacterium. Its description in RNAcentral is "partial 16S ribosomal RNA". It matches the Rfam family "Bacterial small subunit ribosomal RNA", at positions 524 to 776 of the family's 1533-position model. The record is from RNAcentral.